RNAcentral lists this long non-coding RNA (469 nucleotides) under Mus caroli (Ryukyu mouse). RNAcentral describes it as "lncRNA (MGP_CAROLIEiJ_G0003325.1)". The record is from RNAcentral. Lineage: Eukaryota; Metazoa; Chordata; Mammalia; Rodentia; Muridae.
GGACAGAGAGGGAGAGAUGGAGUCCUGAGGGGGCGCUGGAGUCCUGCGGGGAAGAUGACGAACAGAGGGGGCGCUGGAGUCCUGCGGUGGAGAUGAUGGACAGGCGUGGUCCUGAAGGGGCAGCUGGAGGCAUGGCAGUGGAUGAUGGACAGGAAGGUCGAGGAGAGGUCCAGAGGGGCGCUGAAGUAACUUAAGGAUGACGAAGUGGAGAGGAACCGACCUGGAGACUCUGGGAGGACCGGCAAGAGCGGCGAAACCUUCCAAUGCUUUUGACUUUGUCCAGCAGCGAGCUGUGCGUUCACGCUCUAGGCGGUUGAAGUGACCCUGUGGUGUGCUUCAAGGACCUUUAUCAUUGGAAAGUGGGUACCCAAGAGGCUUUGAUGAGGUCCCUGAACAAGAAGAGCUGGAGGAAGCUGGGUGAUGACACUUGGAAUCACUUUAGUCAGUCAUUAAAUUGUUGCUGUUCUCA